AAGCUCGUAGUUGAAUUUCGGGAUUAGUACGUCGGUCGUGCCUUAGGUACGUACUGGUGUUACUGGUUCCUACCUUCUGACGAACCAUCAUGUCAUUAAUUUGGUGUGGUGGGGAAUCAGGACUGUUACUUUAGAAAAAAUUAGAGUGUUUAAAGCAGGCUCGCGCUUGAAUACAUUAGCAUGGAAUAAUGAAAUAGGACGUUGAUCCUAUUUUGUUGGUUUCUAGGAUUGACGUAAUGAUUAAUAGGGAUAGUUGGG
This 258-nucleotide ribosomal RNA is filed under the name uncultured Glomus. RNAcentral's name for it is "partial 18S ribosomal RNA". It matches the Rfam family "Eukaryotic small subunit ribosomal RNA", at positions 624 to 886 of the family's 1831-position model. Lineage: Eukaryota; Fungi; Glomeromycota; Glomeromycetes; Glomerales; Glomeraceae. The record is from RNAcentral.